UACUGUAAUAAUCCUCUUUCUAAUGAUAUAUAACAUUAUAGUAUUCAAACAAUUUGAAAUUUUUACUCACGUACCUAGUAAGAGUAAUAAAAUUAUUUUAUUCAACAUUACGAAUUGAAUUACGAGAAGAAGUCGUUGUAAUUAAUUUAAAACAUAUUGCAUCACGAGAAGAAUAGAAAAAAUAUUGCUAUACUUAAGUAUCAAGAUUAAAAUACUGAUGUACCGUUAAAAUGAAGGUGGUAAUAAAGUUUACAAAAUUUGCUCUGGCUGAAUUUUUCAAUGAAAAAACAAUAUGUGUGCCAUGAAUGUAAUCUAUUUUUCAUGGCGUAUCAAUGAAAGUUUGGUGUAUUGGCCAAAUCACUUGCAAGCAUCUUGCCUUUAAGCUGCCAUAUGUAAAGUCAUGCUUUUAAAAGUAACUGAAAGCAACUGAAAAUAAUAAUUUUUUGAAUGGAAUUAUCUGUGCCUCCAGCUUAAAAGGAUGCAGGUUACAAAAAAAGUGACACUGAUGAGAUUGUCUCUCAGUUUCUCAAAGAUUGAAGAAAUCUUUAGUGUUUUAGGGUUAAGUGAUUCCAAAAGAGCUUUGCUUGACUAUCUUAUUCGAUUUAUUGAAUUUAUUUGCCGGUUAUAGAUGAAAAAAGAUCUUCUAAACCUAGAAGAAAAAUUAUGGAACAAAGACACCUUAUGAAUAGUUUUUGGAAACAGUACCAUGUACUAUUAAAGUUUCUAAUUUUUAAAAUAUAUGAUACAUUUAUAUGAAACAUACAAACAAAUGAUACAAUAUGAUACGUGAUUGACUAUAAUUAUGUUGUAUAUCAGAAUGUUUUAUAUAAAUGCUUAUUACAUUUUAUUGUGUUUUUUAUCUUUUAUGCCCAGUUAGUAAUGUAUUUUGUGUAGCAAUGACUAAUAAUCUCAGAUAUCUAUGACAUCUGUAGGGUGUAUUCACCGCUACAGAUGUCAUAAUCUAUUUAUAACCAAUUGCUUUUACUCUUCCAUAAUGUCAUAUUUUAAUAAGAAUCACAUUAUGGAAAACCGUCUAAUACAUACACAUGAGGAACCAUUAUACUUUUACAACCAAUUAUAUUACAUUUGUUUUCUUAUUUUAGAUGAACUUUCUUACUUCGGUUGGAGGAGAUGAGAAACAACUUACAGCGACAAUCUUAAUACAGUUAAUGGCCAAAGAAGUAUGUUUUUCAUACUCAGUGUAUGGAAGGAACCAAAAACGUCCUGCAAGGUCGUUAUAGAUUUGCGUUUAGUCAUUUAUCGUUGUAUUCGUUUCUUUCGAAAUUGCUACUGACAAAAGUAGUAAAGAAAAAAUUGGCAGCUUUCUGGCGAGGGCCAUUAAUAGAGAUUACGGAAGAAAAAUAGAACCGUAACUGAGCAACACCCAAUAUUGAGCAAUGAAAUAAGUAUCGCCAAAAUAAUGAAAGUCGAUGCCCACUAUCUCAUAGUGAGAGUAUAAUACAGUAGUUUAUAGAUAUAUAUUUAUAUAUACAUAUUUUUUGUACCUGUAUUUAAAUAGCAUUGAUUUUAUUUUGUUAUAUUUUGGUUUUGGAAAACUCUAUACCUCUUCUUUUCAUUUGUAUCUGUUUCAUAUCACUUCAAAUAAAUUUAAUUUUUC
Hydra vulgaris (swiftwater hydra) is the source of this 1618-nucleotide non-coding RNA. The record is from RefSeq and is a predicted model, not a curated record. NCBI's taxonomy places the organism in Eukaryota, Metazoa, Cnidaria, Hydrozoa, Anthoathecata, Hydridae.